Herpailurus yagouaroundi (jaguarundi) is the source of this 694-nucleotide long non-coding RNA. RefSeq lists it as uncharacterized. The transcript has 2 exons. The record is from RefSeq and is a predicted model, not a curated record. NCBI's taxonomy places the organism in Eukaryota, Metazoa, Chordata, Mammalia, Carnivora, Felidae.
CAAAGGCUUUAAUCAGCCCCCAGAGCACCCAUACCCAAGCCUGAGGAGGAGAAGGACGCUUCCUGUAGGAUAGGCAUCUCCCUGGGAAGAUCCUGAGCCUUCUUGUAAGAAGGAACAUCUGGAGCCAAUCUCACAAGUGCAUGACACCACCAUGCAACAGGAACCCCAGGGCACUUGAGAAUUCUGCAGACUGCAAGGCUAAAAAUAACCAGCAUAUUCCUUCUGGUGGUGACCGGAAUACAAACACUCCCCACACCAUAUCAGGAAAACACUUUGCUGGGAGUGGUAAAAUUAGAAUGCCACCAUAAUGACUUAACUAGGAUGCACAGUGAGGAAUCUCCCACCUGAAGGCUGGGAAAGGGUUGGCCCUCCAGACAGAUUUGGGGAAACCAGCAGGCGCAAGAGGAUAAAAGGCAGGGUUUUUUCCUCUCUGGAUGUGGCCAUUACUCGUUCAGACCAACGACUAUGAGAUACCGGGGUAAUCUGCAGAAUUCCGUGGGAGCACUAGUGUGGUUACACUGUGAUCUUUGCUUUGUAAAACAUCGGUUUUUCCCCCUUUUCCCCGGAAUUUUGCUAACAUUUCCCAUGCACCAUGGCUAUUGCAUAGCUCAGGGGAGGCAAUUUAAAAGAUGUCAUAUUCUCCCAGGUUCGUACAGAACAGGACUGAAUAAAUAAGCCAUUCAACGCUGCUUUG